RNAcentral lists this long non-coding RNA (1577 nucleotides) under Homo sapiens (human). RNAcentral's name for it is "HSALNT0373840". The record is from RNAcentral. Lineage: Eukaryota; Metazoa; Chordata; Mammalia; Primates; Hominidae.
AAAAAAUAUAUAUAUAUAUAUACACACACACACACACACACACACACACACGGAUCAGGAUUCAAAUGUACUAACGUGAUACAAGGCCUAUCACUUUUUAACUUCACCAUACUGUAUUUUCAGUCAUUUUAACAUACACAGCUAAUGAAUAUCUAUCUUAUUUGCACACUUAGGAUAAUAACAGAAAUUAAAAGUUGAACAUAUGCAGUUUAUUUUGUCCAAAAUAUAAUUGUUGUUUCUCUGUGUUGGGAAAGGCUGUCUCCUGCAUGCAGUCCUGUGUGUGGACUCCAUUGGACCACAGAAGAAUGAGCCUUCAACCCGAACACUUCCUUACCAACAGAUAAAGAGCCUUCACAGCAUGUGCCGGGUUUAUCGCCUGGUAUGGGAAUAUCUUUUCCUGUUUCAGACUCUGUAUACUCCUUUAAUCUGCUUAAGCUCAUAUGUCAAUGGCCCUCAGACACACCUCCAGCUUUCUGUAUUUCAGACUGCAUGGGAAGGGGGAGGGGUCCCUCUAUUGCAGCACAAAGUGGGGUGGGUGCAGCUAACUCCCCACAUAGCAUAGCUGUGAAGUGGAUCCAGUGGCCCUGAGGGACCAACACAAUGUAAGGAGCUGGACCUUGUGCACUCUUGCUCCUCUCUUGCUGUGAGUAAACACUGUAUGGCUUGAGUCCAGCAUGUGUGUUUUCUGUAUCACAACCUCGGGUCGUGCAUUGGUCUCUUCCCUGGAAGGCACUUUUUAUCUGUCUUCUAACCUUGGCAGCACAGCCCGGCCAUCCAGUGAAUGAUGAAAUACUUAGCACUUGUUGUCAUAGUAGGUAAUUUUGUGAAUUCAAAUAAAUAAUCAGCUAAUAAAAUUGGCUUCAAAAUACUCUUGGAUUGGAGAAUUGAAAAGGCACAUUUCACUCAAGGCAUCUUUGCCCCUGGGCUGUAACUUAAAAUACCUCUUUGAUUUCAGGCCUCCUUAUCUAACUUCUGCUCAGUCACCUCUGCAUUCUACCUGUAGAAAAGUGACUCAACAUCAUUCCAGAAGUCCGGAAUUCUACAAGAAUCAUCUGAUGUCAAAAAUAACUGAGAACAAUCUGAACAGGAGAGGAAGAUAGAAGUAACUAUGAAAGAUUACAGAGAUUAGAAAGAGCCACUGUACUUGAAAGAAAGCAAUCAUCUCUGAGAGCUCUUCAAUUACAACGAAAUUGUCAGCUAGAUAGAAGGAAUUAAUACUAGUGUUUGAUACCACCUUACGAUGACUAUAGGAGAACAGUAUUCUAUUUAGCCAGCCACAACAUUUGAACAUCAUCUUUCGAAUCAAAGGCAAAAAGCAAAGAAAACCUCCAGCCAUGGCCCUGUGAAAAAUCAUCCAGAUGGAAAAUUUCUGUGAAAGAAACGUGCAACUACCACUCCAAUGUCUUACUUUAAGAAAAAUAAACAGGUUUUGAAUAUAAAAAUAUUGAUGAGCCCAGAUUAUAAUUGACUAUGAUAGCCAAAAUUAAGGUAACAUCAGGUUACUUUUUGUUUAUUUUAUUUUAUUUUAUUUUAUUUUAUUUUAUUUUAUUUUAUUUUAUUUUAAGUUCUGGGGUACA